AGGAUUAUAGUUUAUGUAAAACAUAUGAUUUGCACUCAUAAAAAAUUAAAUCUAAUUAAUCUUA
RNAcentral lists this transfer RNA (64 nucleotides) under Agapetus fuscipes. RNAcentral's name for it is "tRNA-Ala". It matches the Rfam family "tRNA". From Rfam's summary of the family: Transfer RNA (tRNA) molecules are approximately 80 nucleotides in length. Lineage: Eukaryota; Metazoa; Arthropoda; Insecta; Trichoptera; Glossosomatidae. The record is from RNAcentral.